Long non-coding RNA from Ictalurus punctatus (channel catfish), 433 nucleotides. The record is from Ensembl. NCBI's taxonomy places the organism in Eukaryota, Metazoa, Chordata, Actinopteri, Siluriformes, Ictaluridae.
CCUAUUUUCCCUUACGGUCCCCGCAUAGGAACCCAUAACAGGUUGCAUACUCGGUUUAAGAGGUGGAAACGAUUCAGGGUCAUUGAAGGAUUCAGCCAAUGGGGUUCCCUUAUUGGUCCAGAGUCAGUGAAGACUUCAAAUCUGUUGUGCAAUACUACAGACAUAUUGUAAAAGACUGCAAUUUUGAGGUCUGGGUGAGCUACUGGCAUAAAAUGGAGGAAGAACAUCCCAACAGGAGAACAGGAAAACUUUCUUUGCAAAGUUGUAUAUAUCCUUUUCUCUUCUUUGUUUUCAGUGUGCACACUCUUUGUAGACUUUACGUAGAAAAGGAUUGUACUUACUCCUUUCAGCGUUUGGUCAUCGUUGUUGUUUGAGGUUUAGUAGAGCUCCUUUCCUCUAUGGAUCUCAUUAAAAAAAUUCAUUUAUUUAUUUU